This 75-nucleotide transfer RNA is filed under the name Candidatus Roizmanbacteria bacterium RIFCSPHIGHO2_02_FULL_39_9. RNAcentral's name for it is "tRNA-Gly". It matches the Rfam family "tRNA". From Rfam's summary of the family: Transfer RNA (tRNA) molecules are approximately 80 nucleotides in length. The record is from RNAcentral. RNAcentral also lists the same sequence under 1 other name. Lineage: Bacteria; Candidatus Roizmaniibacteriota.
GCGGGCGUAGUUUACCGGUAAAAUGUCUCCUUGCCAAGGAGAAGACAGAGGGUUCAAUUCCCUUCGCCCGCUCAA